RNAcentral lists this ribosomal RNA (584 nucleotides) under uncultured Rhizophagus. Its description in RNAcentral is "LSU rRNA". It matches the Rfam family "Eukaryotic large subunit ribosomal RNA", at positions 204 to 637 of the family's 3401-position model. The record is from RNAcentral. Lineage: Eukaryota; Fungi; Glomeromycota; Glomeromycetes; Glomerales; Glomeraceae.
CAUGGAGGGUGAGAAUCCCGUCCGGCUGACCUUCAGGACGUUUUACGAUACGCUUUCUAAGAGUCAAGUUGUUUGGGAUUGCAGCUUAAAAUGGGAGGUAAAUUUCUCCUAAGGCUAAAUAACGGCGAGAGACCGAUAGCGAACAAGUACCGUGAGGGAAAGAUGAAAAGAACUUUGAAAAGAGAGUUAAACAGUACGUGAAAUUGUUGAAAGGGAAACGAUUGAAGCCAGUCGUACCUUCGGGUAAUCAGCCUUUCGGGUGCGAUUCUGUGGAGUGUGAGGAGCUUAAACACCUUCAUGUUUUGCAUAUUCGUACUCUUGGGUGUACUUGCCCGUGUGGUUGGUUAACAUCAAUUUUGGUGGUCAUAAAAUGACUGGAGGAAUGUAGCUUCGAUCUUGUAUUGAAGUGUUAUAGCCUUCGGUAGAUGUGAUGAUCGAGAUUGAGGAUUGCAACGGAUACCCUUCGGGGCUACCUGUCUGGUCUCUGAUCGUUGCUCUGGUGCCGAAAGCUUGCUUACGGUUAUCAAAGUCGAUGGUCAAUAGGUUAGAAUGGGUUAAAUUCGUUAAGGAUGUUGACGUAAUGG